GGAGGGGCCGGGAGGGCCGGGUGGUCAUGGAAGCGUUUCUCCGGUACACGAGGGGACGGGGGAGGUGACCUCAGCCGCGGCGUAAGCAGCGCAUCUCUUCCUGCGCCGUGCGGGGCUCCCAGCCCCGUCCUCCUUAGGCAGAGUCGCUGUUGGUACGCGUGGAGAAAGUGCGCGGCUCAACUUCAACACUCGCUCUUCUCAUUCUCACUUCGGACGCCGUGUUUCGCUUAAAAAUGUCUUCUGUAACUUCCAGGUCUGCGCCGAGGCAGUGCUGACAGCAGCCGCCGGCUGUAUUGUAGUGGUCACGGAGUUUGGAGGGUGUCGUGUGCUCCCUGUGCUGCACAUGCACUCUGCUAUACAAUCAUCUUUAAGUUUGAGUAACAAGUAUUUAACCUCAAAUGAAGCUUCCUGCAUGCAGCGGAACAGAUAUAGUUGA
RNAcentral lists this long non-coding RNA (436 nucleotides) under Meleagris gallopavo (turkey). RNAcentral describes it as "lncRNA (ENSMGAG00000020099.1)". The record is from RNAcentral. Lineage: Eukaryota; Metazoa; Chordata; Aves; Galliformes; Phasianidae.